GCGCUGGUAGCUCAGCUGGAUAGAGCACUUGACUACGAAUCAAGCGGCCAGGGGUUCGAAUCCUCUCCAGCGCACCA
Molecule: transfer RNA, 77 nt
Filed under: Paracoccaceae bacterium
Lineage: Bacteria; Pseudomonadati; Pseudomonadota; Alphaproteobacteria; Rhodobacterales; Paracoccaceae
Description: Rhodobacteraceae bacterium tRNA-Arg
Rfam family: tRNA
About the family: Transfer RNA (tRNA) molecules are approximately 80 nucleotides in length. Their secondary structure includes four short double-helical elements and three loops (D, anti-codon, and T loops). Further hydrogen bonds mediate the characteristic L-shaped molecular structure. tRNAs have two regions of fundamental functional importance: the anti-codon, which is responsible for specific mRNA codon recognition, and the 3' end, to which the tRNAs corresponding amino acid is attached (by aminoacyl-tRNA synthetases). tRNAs cope with the degeneracy of the genetic code in two manners: having more than one tRNA (with a specific anti-codon) for a particular amino acid; and 'wobble' base-pairing, i.e. permitting non-standard base-pairing at the 3rd anti-codon position.
Source: RNAcentral